Molecule: ribosomal RNA, 497 nt
Filed under: uncultured bacterium
Lineage: Bacteria
Description: partial 16S ribosomal RNA
Rfam family: Bacterial small subunit ribosomal RNA
Source: RNAcentral
GACGAACGCUGGCGGCGUGCCUAAUACAUGCAAGUUGAGCGCUGAAGGUUGGUACUUGUACCAACUGGAUGAGCAGCGAACGGGUGAGUAACGCGUGGGGAAUCUGCCUUUGAGCGGGGGACAACAUUUGGAAACGAAUGCUAAUACCGCAUAAAAACUUUAAACACAAGUUUUAAGUUUGAAAGAUGCAAUUGCAUCACUCAAAGAUGAUCCCGCGUUGUAUUAGCUAGUUGGUGAGGUAAAGGCGCACCAAGGCGAUGAUACAUAGCCGACCUGAGAGGGUGAUCGGCCACAUUGGGACUGAGACACGGCCCAAACUCCUACGGGAGGCAGCCGUAGGGAAUCUUCGGCAAUGGACGAAAGUCUGACCGAGCAACGCCGCGUGAGUGAAGAAGGUUGUCGGAUCGUAAAACUCUGUUGGUAGAGAAGAACGUUGGUGAGAGUGGAAAGCUCAUCAAGUGACGGUAACUACCCAGAAAGGGACGGCUAACUACGUG